UAACCGUGCGAAGGUAGCGUAAUCACUUGUUUUCUAAAUAAAGACCAGUAUGAAAGGCAUCACGAGGAUUAAACUGUCUCCUUUUCCUAAUCAGUGAACCUAAUCUCCCCGUGAAGAAGCGGGGAUUAACGUAUAAGACGAGAAGACCCUGUGGAGCUUAAAACAUUAAACACGUGCCCCCCCCCUCACUACCCAGGUAUCUCACCCGUCGCACUCUGAUUGUAUGUUUUCGGUUGGGGUGACCGCGGAGAAAACUCAACCUCCGCAAUGAAAGAGGCCUCCUCUAAGCAGUAAGUUACAACUUUAAGCAUCAAAAAUUGACAUAAUUGACCCAUAAUUUGAUCAAUGAGCCAAGUUACCCCAGGGAUAACAGCACAAUCCACUUCGAGAGCCCCUAUCGACAAGUGGGCU
RNAcentral lists this ribosomal RNA (411 nucleotides) under Pristimantis sp. INPA H 44439. RNAcentral's name for it is "partial large subunit ribosomal RNA". It matches the Rfam family "Bacterial large subunit ribosomal RNA", at positions 1943 to 2518 of the family's 2925-position model. Lineage: Eukaryota; Metazoa; Chordata; Amphibia; Anura; Strabomantidae. The record is from RNAcentral.